This 239-nucleotide long non-coding RNA is filed under the name Ananas comosus (pineapple). RNAcentral's name for it is "long non-coding RNA (ACOM_LNC003793)". Lineage: Eukaryota; Viridiplantae; Streptophyta; Magnoliopsida; Poales; Bromeliaceae. The record is from RNAcentral.
AAAAUAAACUUAAUUAGCUAAAACUGUCAAGAAAUUAAGUUUUAAAUUUAAAACCACCGAUGCAGAAUAUCAACCAUAGAGUAUCUUGCCACUUGCUCUUGGGACGACCAAUAACUACAGAAAACUUUGUUGGCAGUUUAGUAUGAUUUUGGUUGGCCGAUUUGCAAAUAAAUUGAAGGAGCGAAUUAUCAUAGUUUUAAGAUCUAGUAAAAAAGAAAAAGAAAAAGAAAAUCAUAUGA